RNAcentral lists this ribosomal RNA (238 nucleotides) under uncultured bacterium. RNAcentral's name for it is "partial 16S ribosomal RNA". It matches the Rfam family "Bacterial small subunit ribosomal RNA", at positions 524 to 762 of the family's 1533-position model. The record is from RNAcentral.
UACGUAGGGGGCGAGCGUUGUCCGGAGUUACUGGGCGUAAAGCGCACGCAGGCGGUCUGCUAAGUUUGGAGUGACAGUUGGUGGCUUAACUGCCAAAGUGCUUCGAAAACUGACAGACUUGAGGGCUUCAGAGGGACACGGAAUUCCGGGUGGAGUGGUGGAAUGCGUAGAGAUCCGGAAGAACACCGGUGGCGAAGGCGGCCUGCUGGGCUAUGGCUGACACUGGGCGGCGACGCGA